GUGAAUCAUCAAAUUUUUGAACGCAAAUUGCACUCUUCGGUUUUCCGGGAGAGUAUGCCUGUUUAGGAGCCAGCCUAAAAAAAAUCGCCAUUGUUCUUGUUUUAUGGUGACUUUCGUCGGAUAUGGGUUAUCAUCAAUCUCGGUUUAAGCGACUUAAAUAUUUUUUUUAUGAUUCUACGAGUGUUUCUAGGAUUUUUCUUGUACGUUUAAGGUAUCGCAU
RNAcentral lists this unclassified non-coding RNA (220 nucleotides) under Glomus sp. Its description in RNAcentral is "partial contains 5.8S ribosomal RNA and internal transcribed spacer 2". The stretch from base 1 to 72 matches the Rfam family "5.8S ribosomal RNA", at positions 84 to 154 of the family's 154-position model. Lineage: Eukaryota; Fungi; Glomeromycota; Glomeromycetes; Glomerales; Glomeraceae. The record is from RNAcentral.